AUGGAUAGGAGAACAUUUCAUAUAUUAUGUGAGAUGGUGAGAGAUGUUGGUGGCCUAAGGGGUACAAGGAAUACAUCAUUGGAGGAGAUAGUGGCAUCAUUCCUUUAUGUAUUAGCUCACCAUUUGAAAAAUAGGAUAGUAGGGAAAUUCUUUUACCGAAGCCUGGAGCCAGUUAGUAGGAACUUCAAUGCUUGUCUUCUAGCUGUUUUGAAGCUUCAUCCAUUGCUACUUAAGAAACCAGAACCUAUACCCGAGGACUGCACAGAUGGUAAAUGGAAAUAUUUCAAGAAUUGUCUUGGAGCGUUAGAUGGCACACACAUAGGGGUAACCGUCCCGGCUACUAUCAAAGGAAGAUACCUAUCAAGCUUGGGUGAUAUAGAUACAAAUGUGUUAGGUGUGUGCACCUGA
Molecule: ribosomal RNA, 408 nt
Filed under: Triticum aestivum (bread wheat)
Lineage: Eukaryota; Viridiplantae; Streptophyta; Magnoliopsida; Poales; Poaceae
Description: partial small subunit ribosomal RNA
Source: RNAcentral